GUCAGGCACAAUGUAGGACACCAGAGGAGUAAGAGGUCCGGACCCUUUCUCCGUCUUCACAGGGCGACCAGAGGAUUGGGUAAGAAACUGAUUCCAAUCAGUAUACAAAGAAGAAUGACUCGGUGUGACACUCUGAAGCGCCGGGAUGGACUGGGGAAUCAAGCCCACAUGAUCACAAGAAAACGGACAGUUCCUGUGCAAGGCAGCACCAGUGACAUCAUCUUGAUGUCCCCAACACCUGAACUUGAAUCUGGCUCAAACCUCUGGCUCUGACAGGAAAGCCAAAUGACAUCCAAACAUGCUAGGGACAAUGGCAGGCACAUCAGCAACCGUGGCAUAUGCCCACAUCUUCCACGCCCACGCACGGAAAACCACAAAGUAACUACAUUGGUUUCCUCAAUUUAAAAAAAUAAAAUAAAAUGGGAUGGGAGUCAGUCUAGAUGAAUGAAUUGAAUUUGUUUCGAUUCCAACACAAACAAGCUUUUGAAAAAUAAAAUUCGUAUGAUAAUCUGGAAAACAUAAA
Long non-coding RNA from Mesocricetus auratus (golden hamster), 523 nucleotides. RefSeq lists it as uncharacterized. NCBI's taxonomy places the organism in Eukaryota, Metazoa, Chordata, Mammalia, Rodentia, Cricetidae. The transcript is spliced from 2 exons. The record is from RefSeq and is a predicted model, not a curated record.